RNAcentral lists this ribosomal RNA (459 nucleotides) under uncultured bacterium. RNAcentral's name for it is "partial 16S ribosomal RNA". It matches the Rfam family "Bacterial small subunit ribosomal RNA", at positions 339 to 795 of the family's 1533-position model. The record is from RNAcentral.
CUACGGGUGGCUGCAGUAAGGAAUAUUGCGCAAUGGAGGCAACUCUGACGCAGCCAUGCCGCGUGCAGGAAGAAGGCCUUAUGGGUCGUAAACUGCUUUUAUUUAGGAAUAAACCCCCGAACGUGUUCGGGGCUGAAGGUACUAAACGAAUAAGCACCGGCUAACUCCGUGCCAGCAGCCGCGGUAAUACGGAGGGUGCAAGCGUUAUCCGGAUUUAUUGGGUUUAAAGGGUGCGCAGGCGGGCGAUUAAGUCAGUGGUGAAAUCCCGGGGCUCAACUCCGGAACUGCCAUUGAUACUGAUAGUCUUGAGUUUGGUUGAAAUGGGCGGAAUGUAGCAUGUAGCGGUGAAAUGCAUAGAUAUGCUACAGAACACCAAUCGCGAAGGCAGCUCACUAAGCCAAAACUGACGCUCAUGCACGAAAGCGUGAGGAUCAAACAGGAUUAGAUACCCUCGUAGUC